RNAcentral lists this unclassified non-coding RNA (230 nucleotides) under plant metagenome. Its description in RNAcentral is "partial contains small subunit ribosomal RNA, internal transcribed spacer 1, and 5.8S ribosomal RNA". The record is from RNAcentral.
UCUCCGUUGGUGAACCAGCGGAGGGAUCAUUACAGAGUUGCAAAACUCCAAACCAUUGUGAACGUUACCUAUCCCGUUGCUUCGGCGGGCGGCCCGGGCCCCGCGCCCGGCGCCCCCCGGCCCCCCGUGGGCGCCCGCCGGAGGUAAACCAAACCCUUGAAUUGCAUGGCCUCUCUGAGUCUUCUGUACUGAAUAAGUCAAAACUUCCAACAACGGAUCUCUUGGUUCUG